GAUGAACGCUGGCGGCGUGCCUAAUACAUGCAAGUCGAGCGAACGGACGAGAAGCUUGCUUCUCUGAUGUUAGCGGCGGACGGGUGAGUAACACGUGGAUAACCUACCUAUAAGACUGGGACAACUUCGGGAAACCGGAGCUAAUACCGGAUAAUAUUUUGAACCGCAUGGUUAAAAAGUGAAAGACGGUCUUGCUGUCACUUAUAGAUGGAUCCGCGCUGCAUUAGCUAGUUGGUAAGGUAACGGCUUACCAAGGCAACGAUGCGUAGCCGACCUGAGAGGAUGAUCAGCCACACUGGAACUGAGACACGGUCCAGACUCCUACGGGAGGCAGCAGUAGGGAAUCUUCCGCAAUGGGCGAAAGCCUGACGGAGCAACGCCGCGUGAGUGAUGAAGGUCUUCGGAUCGUAAAACUCUGUUAUUAGGGAAGAACAUAUGUGUAAGUAACUGUGCACAUCUUGACGGUACCUAAUCAGAAAGCCACGGCUAACUACGUG
This 497-nucleotide ribosomal RNA is filed under the name uncultured bacterium. RNAcentral describes it as "partial 16S ribosomal RNA". It matches the Rfam family "Bacterial small subunit ribosomal RNA", at positions 28 to 507 of the family's 1533-position model. The record is from RNAcentral.